RNAcentral lists this ribosomal RNA (803 nucleotides) under uncultured bacterium. RNAcentral's name for it is "bacterial SSU rRNA". It matches the Rfam family "Bacterial small subunit ribosomal RNA", at positions 8 to 808 of the family's 1533-position model. The record is from RNAcentral.
AGAGUUUGAUCCUGGCUCAGGAUGAACGCUAGCGGCAGGCCUAAUACAUGCAAGUCGAACGGUAAGUGUCCUUCGGGACACGAGAGUGGCGCACGGGUGCGUAACGCGUAUGCAACCAACCCCCGACGGGGGCAUAGCCGGUGGAAACGCCGGAUAAUACCCCAUGGUUCCCUUGGAGGGCAUCCUCCUUGGGAUAAGGAAGCGAUUCGGUCGGGGACGGGCAUGCGUCCCAUUAGCUGGUAGGCGGGGUGACGGCCCACCUAGGCUCCGAUGGGUAGGGGAUCUGAGAGGACGGUCCCCCACACUGGUACUGAGACACGGACCAGACUCCUACGGGAGGCAGCAGUAAGGGAUAUUGGGCAAUGGGGGGAACCCUGACCCAGCCAUGCCGCGUGAGGGAAUGAGGCCCUACGGGUCGUGAACCUCUUUUGCCUGGGGAUAAACCGCCCCGCUGGACGGGGCGCUGCAGGUACCAGGCGAAUAAGCAUCGGCUAACUCCGUGCCAGCAGCCGCGGUAAUACGGAGGAUGCGAGCGUUAUCCGGAUUCAUUGGGUUUAAAGGGUGCGCAGGCGGCGCGUUAAGUCAGCGGUGAAAGGCAGGGGCCCAACCCCGGCAGUGCCGUUGAUACUGGCGCGCUGGAAUGCGGUCGAGGCGGGCGGAAUGUGGCGUGUAGCGGUGAAAUGCAUAGAUAUGCCACAGAACUCCGAUAGCGAAGGCAGCUCGCCAGGCCUGCAUUGACGCUCAGGCACGAAAGCGUGGGGAUCGAACAGGAUUAGAUACCCUGGUAGUCCACGCCGUAAACG